UGGGGAAUAUAGGACAAUGGGCGAAAGCCUGAUCCAGCCAUGCCGCGUGUGUGAAGAAGGUCUUCGGAUUGUAAAGCACUUUAAGUUGGGAGGAAGGGCAGUAAGCGAAUAUCUUGCUGUUUUGACGUUACCGACAGAAUAAGCACCGGCUAACUCUGUGCCAGCAGCCGCGGUAAUACAGAGGGUGCAAGCGUUAAUCGGCAUUACUGGGCGUAAAGCGCGCGUAGGUGGUUCGUUAAGUUGAAUGUGAAAGCCCCGGGCUCAACCUGGGAACUGCAUCCAAAACUGGCGAGCUAGAGUAGGGCAGAGGGUGGUGGAAUUUCCUGGGUAGCGGUGAAAGGCUUAGAUAUAGGAAGGAACACAAGUGGCGAAGGCGACCACCUGGGCUCAUACUGACACUGAGGUGCGAAAGCGUGGGGAGCAAACAGG
RNAcentral lists this ribosomal RNA (429 nucleotides) under Pseudomonadota bacterium. Its description in RNAcentral is "Proteobacteria bacterium partial 16S ribosomal RNA". It matches the Rfam family "Bacterial small subunit ribosomal RNA", at positions 355 to 776 of the family's 1533-position model. The record is from RNAcentral. Lineage: Bacteria; Pseudomonadati; Pseudomonadota.